GGAGGGUUGGCUGAGCGGUUUAAAGCGCUGGUUUCGAAAACCAGUUUCCCGGAAACGGGAUCGGGGGUUCAAAUCCUCCACCCUCCGCCA
This 90-nucleotide transfer RNA is filed under the name bacterium. Its description in RNAcentral is "tRNA-Ser". It matches the Rfam family "tRNA". From Rfam's summary of the family: Transfer RNA (tRNA) molecules are approximately 80 nucleotides in length. Their secondary structure includes four short double-helical elements and three loops (D, anti-codon, and T loops). The record is from RNAcentral.